GGAGGCAGCUCGGUGCUGUGUGCAGUGAAGCCAAUCACACCGAGCGGCAGCUCCACAGCUGCUCAGGCGCUGACACCGCGACGCGGUCGGCGGGGGCUCAAUUCUUUUGCCACCGUGCGGGGCCGGGACAGGAGCGCAGGUGGCUCGGCCUUCCCUCCCUCCCUUCCUCUUAGGUGGGAUUUUACCAUCCCUCGGACGCAGUCCCUGUCCCUGCCGGAUGAGGAGCGGGGAGCGCCAUCCACACGUGCGGGGAGCCCUUCUUCCUCUUUCCCCUCACCGACAGCCGCGCUGUGCACCGCGGUGAGUCACCGGCAGGUCAGCUCCGCGCCUAGGGGCGGAGAGACCGAGGGGACCGCCGCCGUGCCGCUGGGAGCCGCCACCAGCUCGCCAGAGGGAAGAGCCGCCCCGCAGCUCAGGUGCCGGCCGGGAGGCCCCCGCCCGCAGCCCCGCACCGCAGCCCAGGUAGGGACGGCAGCACGGGGAGCGCGACUGGACGGUGGGCUCAAAGAGGAGCGGAGGAAGGGGGCAGUCCCGGGGCGCGUAGGUGUGUCGGGCUGCGCCCCGCCCCGCCCCACCCGGCCGGGCUGGGCCGGGCCGAGAGCCGGAGCGGGGAGCGGGGAGCGGUUGCCCGCCCGCCCGCCCGCCUGCCGUAGCGCUCGCCCCUCCGGCGGCGGUGCCGCUCCGCAGCGCUGCUCCGGCCGCCGCGAGUCUGGAAGAACAGGUGAAGUCUGAGGGAUUCCAUAUGGACAUACUGGUUGGGAAAUCUAUUUAGGAACAUGCUAAAACAAGAGCAUGGCACCAAAUACACUGAAAGGAAGGAGUUGCUUCGUUGACAAGUAACCCUUUGUCUUUAUUCCUGUAAUGGCAUUAAAAUGUCCUCAUCUAACUCUUGUCCCAUUUAUUGUAUUUCUUCCUCUUUCAGAGUUAUCUCUGUCACUUGGGUUAAAAUUGAUGAUGUAGAGAAUAUAUCUGCUUCUGUGUUGUGUCAGAAAGGGAGCACUUUUGGAAUUUUCAGCUUAAUCUAUUAUUUGUCAGAACAUGUUGACUUGUCAGAACUGAAUGCAGGAAUGUAUAACAGAGUUUUUGUGCAGUUUCUCAGGGUGGAAGUGCUGGCUAAAAGGAGGUAGACAGUUGGACUGCUUUCCCACUCCUCCCAGCCCAGCACUGAUGGUGCAGGGACGUGAACAUGGUUGUUCUUGGAUCGCAUGAGGCUUUAGGGUGUUUCACACAAACUUUGAAAGCUCUUGGUUUCAUCCCAGUACAGAGCAGGAAAAAAGUCUGUAACAGCAAGAAGUUUCAUGGGAUGAGAAAACAGUUCCCUGCCCUAUAAAAUAUAAAGUCAGCAUUAUGUGUACUGUGGCUGUUUCCUAAUUACGAAUUUCUGUUCUUUUCAAUUAUUAUUGUUUUGAAUCUGUUUAGCUAUUUUUCAGAAUUGUUAUUACUGAUUAAUAUAAAAUAAAAAAAGGUUACAGGAAAGAAAAACCUUCA
This 1488-nucleotide long non-coding RNA is filed under the name Coturnix japonica (Japanese quail). RNAcentral describes it as "lncRNA (ENSCJPG00005012169.1)". The record is from RNAcentral. Lineage: Eukaryota; Metazoa; Chordata; Aves; Galliformes; Phasianidae.